Molecule: transfer RNA, 71 nt
Filed under: Phrynosoma platyrhinos (Desert horned lizard)
Lineage: Eukaryota; Metazoa; Chordata; Lepidosauria; Squamata; Phrynosomatidae
Description: tRNA-OTHER
Source: RNAcentral
GCUAGCGUGGUGUAGUGGUUUGAGUGUUGGACUAUAACUCUGAAGACCAGAGUUCAAAUCCUGGCUUAGCA